GUGCACUCCUUGUCGUCAUAUACCGCAUACACAUCCCCUCCACAGAUCGUCGCCCUCUGAAUGCACUCUCUGGAUGCUUCCCCAAAGGCUUCGGGAUGCAGAACCUGCCGCAAAUAAACCAGGCUUCUCCAUAUCGCCGGUGGAAGCCUACAAGGUAGCCACGAUGGCCGCUUGCGCAGUGAGUCCGCGGCCUGCGUACCGCGCCAUUUGACGGCUUUUCCAGGUGAAGACUCCAUGAAGAUGGGCUGAGUAAGGAGACCAGAAGAUGUGACAGGUGAAACGCAGCAGUAGGCCUGGUUACACCCAAAGCUCUUGGAAGUCUGAAAAGCCAGCCUGUCUGCCUCGGCUCAUUCACUAAGAGUUAUGUAACCAGUGAAGGGGCCAUCAUUUAUGAUUUGAUCUACAAUUGGUUGGAAAAACAAAAGCAAGAGGACCUGGAAGUCAGCAGCCUUUACUUUAUGACUUAGCCAGGUUCUGCCAGCAGCGACGGCAUACGGUUCAAGGCUAGUUUGAUCUACGGAGCUAAUUCUAGAACAGACAUCAAAGGCUACACAGAGAAACCCUGUCUUGAAAAAACCAAACAAAGUGAAAUGCUUUGUGAUUUAACAUGUAAUUGGGUCAAUAAAGACUUUGGAAAGUGUCUUUG
Long non-coding RNA from Peromyscus leucopus (white-footed mouse), 646 nucleotides. RefSeq lists it as uncharacterized. Lineage: Eukaryota; Metazoa; Chordata; Mammalia; Rodentia; Cricetidae. The transcript has 5 exons. The record is from RefSeq and is a predicted model, not a curated record.